CUGGCCUGUGUGUCCAACAUGGUGGCAACUUCAAGGGAACUUUGGGAAUUGUGACUUUUUGUGAAUGAAUCUGGACUCAUCAGAAGCAGCUUUAGCCUCAAAUUUCACCUCAAGAAAAGAAUGAAAGGAUAUAUUACAAAACAACAAAGAGACAACUACAAUACUCAUCCAACAAAGAGAGGAAGAGGAUGAGGACGAUGAGGCUGCUAGAAGAAUACAGAAACAACAAGAAAGAAGCUGGUGAUGAUGUUGACCUCUCCUACACUCCUCUUCCAGUAAACUAGAGCAGCCAGUCAGAAAAAUAAGAGGAGUUCAAUCAACAAGAAAAGAAACAGCAGACUUUGUGAUUCCAUUCAUUUAAAAAAAGAGAGGACGCUAAAAGACCUGAGGACACCUUGGUUCAAAGACAAGACGAGACCAGAGUCUUUGGACCAGGACAUCAUACUCAGUGACUCUCUUUAAAUACAAAGAUGAGUAUAGAUUUAUUCAGUUCU
Long non-coding RNA from Notolabrus celidotus (New Zealand spotty), 494 nucleotides. RefSeq lists it as uncharacterized. The record is from RefSeq and is a predicted model, not a curated record. Lineage: Eukaryota; Metazoa; Chordata; Actinopteri; Labriformes; Labridae. The transcript is spliced from 3 exons.